UACGGAGGGUGCAAGCGUUAUCCGGAUUCACUGGGUUUAAAGGGUGCGUAGGUGGGCAAGUAAGUCAGUGGUGAAAUCUCCGGGCUUAACUCGGAAACUGCCAUUGAUACUAUAGGUCUUGAAUUAUCUGGAGGUGAGCGGAAUAUGUCAUGUAGCGGUGAAAUGCUUAGAUAUGACAUAGAACACCAAUUGCGAAGGCAGCUCACUACGGAUAUAUUGACACUGAGGCACGAAAGCGUGGGGAUCAAACAGG
RNAcentral lists this ribosomal RNA (253 nucleotides) under uncultured bacterium. Its description in RNAcentral is "partial 16S ribosomal RNA". It matches the Rfam family "Bacterial small subunit ribosomal RNA", at positions 524 to 776 of the family's 1533-position model. The record is from RNAcentral.